UCCAUCAUCAUUGCUCUAAUAAGCAUGUCAUUUUGAUUAGCAAUUAUAAUAGAAGAGUUCAGAGAAAGGUUCACAUUAUCCAUAUAAAGUAUGUUGCUCUUCAUCUUCAAUCUCAUCCCUUUGGGAAUUGAGUAAAGUGGUAAUUCUAUUCCACCACCGCCUAAGGACAGUCGACCAGUGGAAUAAUAUUGUAUUAGUAUUUCUCUCUUUUAGCCAAAUGACCCAAGACUUUUACCUCCAUAACACUUCUUGUAAGUGCUAAUUUUUUUGAUAUGAUUGGAGAAAUGCCUAGAGAUGCAUAUGCUUGUGAGCAC
Molecule: long non-coding RNA, 314 nt
Filed under: Elaeis guineensis (African oil palm)
Lineage: Eukaryota; Viridiplantae; Streptophyta; Magnoliopsida; Arecales; Arecaceae
Description: long non-coding RNA (EGUI_LNC048113)
Source: RNAcentral